This 433-nucleotide ribosomal RNA is filed under the name Stenotrophomonas rhizophila. RNAcentral describes it as "bacterial SSU rRNA". It matches the Rfam family "Bacterial small subunit ribosomal RNA", at positions 145 to 573 of the family's 1533-position model. Lineage: Bacteria; Pseudomonadati; Pseudomonadota; Gammaproteobacteria; Lysobacterales; Lysobacteraceae. The record is from RNAcentral.
AACGUAGGGAAACUUACGCUAAUACCGCAUACGACCUUCGGGUGAAAGCAGGGGACCUUCGGGCCUUGCGCGGAUAGAUGAGCCGAUGUCGGAUUAGCUAGUUGGCGGGGUAAAGGCCCACCAAGGCGACGAUCCGUAGCUGGUCUGAGAGGAUGAUCAGCCACACUGGAACUGAGACACGGUCCAGACUCCUACGGGAGGCAGCAGUGGGGAAUAUUGGACAAUGGGCGCAAGCCUGAUCCAGCCAUACCGCGUGGGUGAAGAAGGCCUUCGGGUUGUAAAGCCCUUUUGUUGGGAAAGAAAAGCAGUCGGCUAAUACCCGGUUGUUCUGACGGUACCCAAAGAAUAAGCACCGGCUAACUUCGUGCCAGCAGCCGCGGUAAUACGAAGGGUGCAAGCGUUACUCGGAAUUACUGGGCGUAAAGCGUGCGUA